Canis lupus familiaris (dog) is the source of this 6873-nucleotide RNA transcript. It is a transcript of the gene named pre-mRNA processing factor 4B, with no coding region annotated. Lineage: Eukaryota; Metazoa; Chordata; Mammalia; Carnivora; Canidae. The record is from RefSeq and is a predicted model, not a curated record. The transcript is spliced from 17 exons.
CCCCGGAUGCACUUCUCCAUCCGGAUUCUUAGAGCGGACUCCGAGCUCCACGGUCCCCUCCGCGGUUAGCACAUGCGCGACGGCGCCGCUCCCUCUUCCUCCACCUCCGCCAGCCUCCGCCGCCCGGGAAGCCGCCGCCGCCGCCGCCGAGGAGUCAGGAAGUUCAAGAUGGCCGCCGCGGAGACCCUGUCGCUGCGGGAACAGCCAGAGAUGGAAGAUGCUGAUAAUUCCGAAAAGAGUGUAAAUGAAGAAAAUGGAGAAGUAUCAGAAGACCAGUCUCAAAAUAAGCACAGUCGUCACAAAAAAAAGAAGCAUAAACACAGAAGUAAACAUAAGAAACAUAAACAUUCCUCAGAAGAAGACAAGGAUAAAAAACAUAAACAUAAGCAUAAACAUAAGAAACACAAAAGAAAAGAAGUUAUUGAUGCUUCUGACAAAGAAGGUAUGUCUCCAGCUAAAAGAACUAAACUUGAUGAUUUAGCUUUGCUGGAAGACUUGGAAAAACAGAGAGCCUUGAUUAAAGCUGAACUUGAUAAUGAGUUAAUGGAAGGAAAGGUCCAGUCUGGGAUGGGGCUCAUAUUGCAAGGUUAUGAGUCUGGCUCUGAAGAAGAGGGGGAGAUUCAUGAAAAAGCAAGAAAUGGAAAUAGGUCUAGUACCAGAUCUUCAAGUACAAAGGGGGGUAAACUUGAACUUAUGGACAAUAAAAAUAGUACAAAAAAGCGAAGUAAAAGCAGAUCCAAAGAACGGACUAGACAUAGGUCUGAUAAAAAGAAAAGUAAGGGUGGUGUUGAAAUAGUUAAAGAGAAGACAACUAGGAGCAAGUCAAAGGAGAGGAAAAAGUCUAAAAGUCCAUCCAAAAGAAGUAAGUCUCAAGAUCAAGCAAGAAAAUCAAAAUCUCCUACCCUUAGAAGGCGAUCUCAAGAGAAAAUUGGGAAGGCCAGGUCUCCUCCUGAUGACAAAGUUAAAAUUGAAGAUAAAAGUAGAUCAAAAGAUAGAAAAAAAUCCCCAAUUAUAAAUGAAAGCAGAAGUCGUGAUCGAGGCAAAAAAUCCAGAUCCCCAGUUGACUUAAGAGGUAAAUCCAAAGACAGAAGAUCACGAUCCAAAGAGAGAAAAUCAAAACGAUCUGACACAGAUAAAGAAAAGAAGCCAAUUAAAUCUCCCUCUAAAGACGCUUCUUCUGGGAAAGAAAAUCGGUCACCCAGUAGAAGACCUGGUCGAAGUCCUAAAAGAAGAAGUUUGUCUCCAAAACAACGGGAUAAAUCAAGAAGAAGUAGAUCUCCACUUGUAAAUGAUAGAAGGUCUAAGCAGAGCAAAUCACCUUCCCGAACUCUGUCUCCUGGGAGAAGAGCCAAGAGCCGAUCCUUGGAAAGAAAACGAAGAGAACCAGAAAGGAGACGACUUUCUUCUCCAAGAACACGACCUCGAGAUGAUCUCCUCAGUAGACGUGAAAGAUCAAAAGAUGCAAGCCCACUCAAUAGGUGGUCUCCGACCCGAAGAAGGACAAGUAGAUCUCCUAUUAGAAGACGGUCUCGUUCCCCACUCAGACGUAGUAGGUCACCGAGGAGAAGAAGCAGGUCUCCACGGAGGAGGGACAGAGGUCGGAGGAGCCGGUCACGCUUGAGAAGGCGGUCUCGAUCACGGGGUGGUCGUAGACGUAGGAGCAGAAGCAAAGUAAAGGAAGAUAAAUUUAAAGGAAGUCUAUCAGAAGGAAUGAAAGUUGAACAAGAAUCUUCAUCUGAUGAUAACCUUGAAGACUUUGAUGUAGAGGAAGAAGAUGAAGAAGCUCUAAUAGAACAGAGAAGAAUACAGAGGCAGGCAAUUGUUCAGAAAUAUAAAUAUCUUGCUGAAGAUAGCAAUAUGUCUGUGCCAUCUGAACCAAGCAGUCCCCAGAGCAGUACCUGUACACGGUCACCCUCUCCAGAUGACAUUCUGGAAAGGGUAGCUGCUGAUGUUAAAGAGUAUGAACGAGAAAAUGUUGAUACAUUUGAGGCCUCAGUAAAAGCCAAGCAUAAUCUAAUGACCGUUGAACAGAAUAAUGGUUCAUCUCAAAAGAAGCUCUUGGCACCUGAUAUGUUUACAGAAUCUGAUGAUAUGUUUGCUGCCUAUUUUGAUAGUGCUCGUCUUCGGGCUGCUGGCAUUGGAAAAGAUUUCAAAGAGAAUCCCAACCUCAGGGAUAACUGGACAGAUGCAGAAGGCUAUUACCGUGUGAACAUAGGUGAAGUCCUAGAUAAGCGUUACAAUGUGUAUGGCUACACUGGCCAGGGUGUCUUCAGUAAUGUUGUACGAGCCAGAGAUAAUGCAAGAGCCAACCAAGAAGUGGCUGUAAAAAUCAUCAGAAACAAUGAGCUCAUGCAAAAAACUGGCUUAAAAGAACUAGAAUUCCUGAAAAAACUUAAUGAUGCUGAUCCUGAUGACAAAUUUCAUUGUUUGCGACUCUUCAGACACUUUUAUCACAAACAGCAUCUCUGUCUCGUAUUUGAGCCUCUAAGUAUGAAUUUACGAGAGGUGUUAAAAAAAUACGGUAAGGAUGUUGGUCUUCAUAUUAAAGCUGUAAGAUCCUACAGUCAGCAGUUGUUCUUGGCAUUAAAGCUCCUUAAAAGAUGCAAUAUCCUACAUGCAGAUAUCAAGCCAGACAAUAUCCUGGUUAAUGAAUCAAAAACUAUUUUAAAGCUCUGCGAUUUUGGGUCGGCUUCACAUGUUGCGGAUAAUGACAUAACACCUUAUCUUGUCAGUAGAUUUUAUCGUGCUCCUGAAAUCAUUAUAGGUAAAAGCUAUGACUAUGGUAUAGAUAUGUGGUCUGUAGGUUGUACCUUAUAUGAGCUCUACACUGGAAAAAUUUUAUUUCCUGGCAAAACCAAUAACCAUAUGUUGAAGCUCGCCAUGGACCUCAAAGGAAAGAUGCCAAAUAAGAUGAUUCGGAAAGGCGUAUUCAAAGACCAACAUUUUGAUCAAAAUCUCAACUUCAUGUAUAUAGAAGUUGAUAAAGUAACAGAGAGGGAGAAAGUUACUGUCAUGAGCACCAUUAAUCCAACCAAGGACCUAUUGGCUGACUUGAUUGGGUGCCAGCGACUUCCUGAAGACCAGCGUAAAAAAGUACACCAGCUAAAGGACUUGUUGGACCAGAUCCUAAUGUUGGACCCAGCUAAACGAAUUAGCAUCAACCAGGCCCUACAGCAUGCCUUCAUCCAGGAAAAAAUUUAAACGAGAUGAAGAAGCUCCAAGGGUUUGAGUAAUUAAAUACAAAGACUGAAGAAAUUUCACAGCAGUUUAUUAAUGUAUAUAAACUUAUAAAUAUUUCUCCAGCAAAUUUGAGGAAGCAUGAUAUAUUUGAAUUAACACCAAGGGUGAUAUUUCUUUUAGAAAUGUUAGUUAAUCUGUUUUGUGUCUUAUGUGAAAUUUCACUGUAGAACUGUUUUAAUUGCCAAGACUGCACAAAAUUACAGUGCUAAUGUAUAUGGUUGCAGUUCACAUAAAAGACAAAAAGCAUCUGUUAUAAAAUGAGUAGUAAUACUGGGUGGUUGAUUUAUUUUUAGCAAACUUGGCUUCAUAUUGGUCUUCAGAUAAAAUGGCCAGCAUAAAUGCUGUUUAUAUUCACGUUUUCCUAGGUGUGUGUGUGCAGGCCACAGCAGCAUGCCCUUGGUGUAGUCAGUGCCGAAAGGGGUCUGUUCCUUCUUGAGCCUGCCUGCAGGGAUGGUCUCCUCUUUUAAAGCAGGUUGUGUACAACAUUCAGUACACUGAAGGUAAGCUAAACCAUCAACAUCACUGGUGUUUUAAGAUGUUAUUUUAUUGGAACAGUUGACAAAUGAGGGAUAUUAGCUUUGUGGCGGAAUUCCCUGCAUGUGUGAUAACUGAUCUUUUUUAUUUUUUGGCAUUGCAACUGUGGCAUAGUUACAGUUUCUGUUCUGUUCAUCACAUUUAAAAUUGGAAGAGUAUGCGCUUGAUGGAUAGAGCGCCUUCAGUGUACUGUUUCUUAUUAACUUUAAUUUUUUAAAUCAACUUGCUAUAGACUUUAUAUACAUUUUGUUAAAUACAGUUCGUAGUGACGUAGAAACAAGGCAUAGUUUUCCUUUACUAAUUACACAUGUUGAGGCCUAAUUCUGAAAGUCCUCAUAUUUAAAAGUUAGACAACAUAAUGAAAUUUUUAACUAUUUGUAUGUCAUUUUGAAAGUGUACUGCUUUAUGGUAAAAGUGUUUUUCAUUUGUUCAUUGUUUUCAUUAUUUGUGAUCAUGUUGUCUUUCAAUACAGGCAUAAACCUUCCACUCUUGAACAAAGCAGCUGCUUUUUAAAAGCGAGAAAAGGAAAACGGGGCACAGGCCACUCACCGCCUUCUCCAAGGGGUCUGAUUUGCUGAGACACCAGCUUCACCUUCUUAACAAGGCACCUAAUUACAACAAGCAUGCACAUUUUGGUGCAUUCAAGAAUGGAAAAUCAGAAUAGCAGCAUUCUUCUGGUGGGUUUUGCUCCAUUUAAAGACAUGAAAUGAACUACAGCCAGGAAGGUGAUAGAUGAUAUAAUAAGCCAACUUUGAAUCUACACCCCGUCUCUUCAUGGUUUAGACUUACUAAAAUAAAUUAAAGGUGGUUUCCAUCUUCAGGUAGAGUGAUGCCUUUUAAAUAAGGCAUCACAGGUGCAGCUUGUCUACCUUAACAAAAUAAAAUGGGUAGUGAUUUUCCCACCAUGACUUACUUUAUUUUGGUGAUAAUAUGCUGCAUAUUCGAGUCUUUUGUAGUUAUUUGCACUCAAAAUAGUUAACAUUUUGAUGCUUCUGGUGAUUUUCAUGGCUUCGUUUUAUGUAAUUAUUUAAUAAGUUAACUUCCACUAGAAACAGUUCAUCUUAUGCCUUCAAAACUAUUAACCUAUUCUUUAAAAAACAAAGUUGCUUGUUACUUGUUCUUUGUGUUUUAGGUGCAGUUCAGUGGAAGAUGAUGACAGCCAGAAGACAUGAGCUAAGGUUUCUGUCCUAUAAAAGAUUUAAAAUUAAAAAAAAAAAAAAAAGAGAAAGAAAAAAAAAGAAUCCUCCAUUUAAUUUUUGUCUAAUUUUUUUAGUUUUCAGCAUUAUGAUUUGGGUUUUGUUAAUGUUUGGCACUUAGAGUAGUAGUGCUGUUGUGGUGUUCAUCUGUAAAGUGCUUGUUUUAUCAUGCUUCCUUCCUCUCCCUGCUCCCCACUCUCUCCUCUCCAUACCCACCCACCCCCCCCGCCCCCCCCCCCAAAUAAACACUGUGGUCAGAUUUAGUGAUACUAUGAAAGACUCUUGAAUGGUGAGAUUCCACAGAACACAUGGCCAUCAAAAUUGGUUCCUAGGGGUUGUGAGAAAAACCACCAAGAUCACAUACAUCAAAAAGUAGUCUUUAGGUAUCUUACCUCCUUUGCAGAUGCAAAAGAAUAGAAAGUGGAAUUUUAAGAACAGUGUUACCCAACUCCUUUAAUACUCUAUUCCCCAACUUUCCCUUUUAAUAACUUUUUUACAAGUGGUCCAGUCAUGGUCUUAAGAUAGACAAAAUAUUUAGAACCACUGUCAGUUUUUCUUUAUAAGUGAGAGUAGAUCUUUGUUCCCAAAUUUAGCAUUCCUAGAUUUGUCUACUUGAAGGGAACCCUGUAAACAUUCUUUACAUACAUAUACGUGAUUUUAUUAGAAUUAGUAAUUUUCUGAGGCAGAAAUUUGGAACUUCGUAAGACCUCUGUUAGAUGAUGGUUCUAAUUUAGUGAAUUAUCUUUAUCCUGCAUUCGUAUUUCAGAGUAGCUGUAUAGUUUUCAAACAAGUUAAUCUCAGAUAAAGCAUUUGUUUAAUACACAUCUGAGCAAAAAUACCAUGUGAUUGUCAGACGUCGGGGUUCCUAAAUCUUAGGACAUAAUCCUCAAAAACGUCAUAGUUCUUUCUGUAGCUGGGGGGUGAGAUCCGGAAAGCAGAUACACUGUAGACCCCAUUCUCUAGAUGGACCUUAUACUUGAAGGUAUCAGAAAUCAGGUUGAAUGAGGUAUCAAAGAUUUGAAGGAAGGGGGAAGCAUCUUGUCAUAAAUUUUAAAGACCUUCCCAGUAUUUAUAUUCACCCUUAAGUCCUUAUUAAUAGCAUCCUGUUUAUUCCCCAAUGUAUAACUCAUUCCAUUCUACUACUUUCAAAAUAAUUGUUUUUUAAGGUAUUGUAAUUUAUUUGCCAUUAUAAUAAUUACCUUUUUUCUCCAAAACAAAUACUCAGGACAUUUCUACAAUACAAAAAAUGUGUAUGUUUCAUGGUAUGUGAUAGAGGCAAAGAAAUGUAAUGUUCUCAGAUCUGUUUCAUAUUUGCAUUCCUUCUGUGUUCUUUAUCAUUUCGUAACGCUAGCUGGCUAGGUAGAAAUAGAAUCUCUGAAAUGAAACCGGAAUCACAGAAGUAGUUAAAGAAUGCCCUUUUAAAUGUUGGAGAUAGGAAAAAAGUAGAAACUCGAAUAAUUUCCUUUCAUUAGUUAUGAUGACCUGAUUAGAAACUGGGCUUCAUAAAGUGUUUCUUGUAGUAGUAUCCUAGUUCAAGUUUGUAUUCAACAUGAGUUUUAUCAUCCUUUUAGAUGGCAUUUCUUCCUUAUGGAAAUGUUCGGUACAAAUUUGUUUGUGUUUUUUUUACAUGUCAAUAAUGUAUGCUAAAUUGACUUUUAAAAUGUUUUCCAGUUUGAUAGAUAUCAUCAUGGCAUCUUUAAUUUUUUUUUCUCCUUCUGUAUGUAGGGUAAGGGACUGUUCUGAAGAAUCUUUCCAUUUAGUGAUCAAGAUAUGGAAGCUGGUCUCUGAAAAUACUCAAUGUGUAUCCCAGUUAAUCAUGGUAUCAUUUGAAUUGUAACUUAAAUUUUAGCAGCAAUGUUUUCCAAUUAUUGGGAAAACUAAUAAAAUAUGUCUCUUGUUACCA